CAGGACAGUGCCCUCCUGUAAGGUGUGGGGAAAAGAUGCCAGGAGAAUCUUGUCCUUUAAAAGUCACCCAGAAAGGUAGAUCUACGAACCAGUAAGACUCAUUUUUUAAAAUUCUUUGUGGUUUUGAAUGGCAGCUGCGCCGCUUUCUCACAAACACACACACAUGCACGCACACUGACUUUUAUAUUCUCCCCCUCUUUCUCUGCUGUGUGCUUUGUCAUGGCUGCUGUGUCAUGACUGUUUUUGUCUAAUGAGAUUGAAAUGUAUUUGCUUGGCUGCCAUGCCAUGACUGUGCUUUGUGCUAUGCUACUUUCAAAUUUUUUUGACAAUGACCGUCCGUCUAGCAAUCAUAGUCUUCGCAUCCAAUUCGAACAUGGCCACCCAAUUGUUCACCGGUUCGUCCAAAAUGGCCACCCUAUUUGUUUGUCUCUCUUUGUUUAUUUCCCUUUCUUUUCUUUAUUCUGUCAGAUGAGCAGAUAGCUGACUUUUUAAUUGUGUUGGGAGGGAUGACCUCUCCACACAAUUAGAGCAUUUAGUUGUCUGUUGAUGUUUGGAUAGUGAGGUUAUUUAGAAGAUUGCACAAUGGCUUGAAGCUGUAGGAGAGAAAUUCUCUCCCCUUGUUUAUUUCUUGGGCCUAAAUAGGUAGUAGAAAAAGUCUGAUUUUUAGUGAAUUUUUGUUUUGAACUGCUAAGCUACUGAUGGUGUGACCAGGAAUAGUGAGAUGUUUGGUCAGGAUUGGACUGAUAGGGUGCAAAGCCUGAGGUGACUGUCAAGAUGCUAUGGCGUAUCAGACAGAUUUUAUGUUGACUCAGGGCAGGUGGUUCACUGAUCCUUAAAUUCUGAAUUUCUGUGGGCUUGGGUAUAUGUAAGGUAGGGGAGAUUUUUGUGUACAAUGAUUUGGUGGCAUUGUAGUAGAUGAUAGGAGUGGAAAGGUUUUGUAAUCUUGUGUAACAAGUCAGAAUUCUCUAAUUUGGCCUGUUGGCCGUGUAAUGAAGGUGCUUUUUCUUGGUUGUCAUAACUAAGUUUUGAUCAAUAUUUGUGCAUUAACAUUUUCUUUGUAGGUAAAUCUACAAUCGGUGAGUACCCUUUUUUUUUUUUUUUUUUUUUUUUUUUUUUUUUUUUUUUUUUAAAUGAAUGCCUACUUGCUUAUGUCUCUAUAGUAAGGUUGAACAAUGAAUGUUAUUGUAAUCACAUUUAUAAUAUUGAGCUGCAGUUUUCUGCAUAUUGUUCAGUCUUACUCUAGAUUUGUUAUAUUUUGAUGGUUUUGGACUGUAAUAAAAUCUGUUAGGGUUGUGUGUUUCUUUGGAAAAAAAAACCAAAAAAAAACCAAUGAAUUGGGUUUUCUUGCCAAAUGCAUCACCACACAAACACAUUUACAUGGUCAAAGCUUAUCAUUAACAUUAUUAUUAUUUUUUUUAAAUCUACAAACCCAUAAAAUAGGAUAAGGAUAAACUUGAGCUUUUUAAUCACUACCUUUUGAUCAACAACUCUGGCCAUCGGAGCCAGUCAAGGUGUCCGUCGUCCAACUUAGCUGCAUUUCAGGCUGUGCGUUCAUCCGUUCAACUUAGCUGCAUUUCAGGCCGUGCGUUCGUCCGUUCAACUUGGCUGCAUUUCUGGACUUGCAUUUAUCAAUCACCUGUUCAUUUUUUUUUUUUUUUUAUCCUUGAGGAUCUCCAAACAGAAGCUCCUGGUGGGUCUAUAGUAAGUGCUGUUUUAUUCCUUAUGUGCUGGGUUUUGCUUGGCUGCCGUGCCAAAACUAACAAUCAAAUUCUAUUUCAGCCUUCAUCCAUACUCCAUCCACAAGUAAGUGCUGCUUUUUUUUUUUUUUUUUUUUUUUUUUUUUUUGGCUGCCAUGCCAUAACUAACUACUUCACUUUUCAGCCUUCAUCCUACAAAAGAAGAGGAUUGCGUCUUUGUUUGUUAUUUUUUUUUAUUAUUUUUGGGCCGCCGUGCCAUCUCUUUCUAUCCCUCACUGGUUUGUCUUGGCCGCUGUGCCCAUCUACCGAUCUAUCCCUUUCUCGUUCAUCCGUGCAACAUCGCUGUCGGUCGGUUCAAAUUUUGCUCCCGUUCGUUCAUCCGUCCUUCUAAUCAUCCAAACAUCAAAUAGGUGAUUAUGAUUAGACUGAUCAUCUGAACAUCAUAGGUGUACAGAUGAUCACUCUAAUCCUUUAAAAAUCUCUUAAUAUCUAAAUUAUGAUUAGACUGAUCAUCUGAACAUCAUAGGUGUACAGAUGAUCACUCUAAUCCUUUAAAAAUCUCUUAAUAUCUAAAUUAUGAUUAGACUGAUCAUCUGAACAUCAUAGGUGUACAGAUGAUCACUCUAAUCCUUUAAAAAAAUCUCUUAAUAUCUAAAUUAUGAUUAGACUGAUCAUCUGAACAUCAUAGGUGUACAGAUGAUCACUCUAAUCCUCUAAUAAUCCUAACAUAACUUUUUUUGUUUUUCCCUUUGUAACUGCUGAGCUAAUGAUCUAAAAUAAUCAAGUGUUAGGUCAGAGCUGGGGUGUAAUGCAGUGUAAAGUCAGCUAUCUCUCAUCACCUGUUUUUCAGUUGUAUAUUGGUGGUGCUUUGUCUAUCCUGCUGUACCUUGAAGCCUAUGUCUGUUUUUCCAACUUUUGGAUGGCCUGCCGUGUCAUCACUUGCAGUAGCAUCUGUCUGCUUCUGUUUUUCUUUGUGCGUAUUCGUCGAGAAUUAGAUUGCGUCUUUGUUUGUUGUUUUUUUUAUUAUUUUUGGGCUGCCGUGCCAUCUCUUGUCUAUCCCUCACUGGUUUGUCUUGGCCGCCGUGCCCAUCUACCGAUCUAUCCCUUUCUCGUUUAUCCAUCCAACAUGACUGCGCACCUAAGAUGAUGUCCAUCCAAGAUUAACAAUUAUCCGUUUGUCUACCCGUUAGUUUGUAUAAUCGGUUUCAUGAAUCUACAAACAAGUAAGUCCUACAUUUUUUUUUUAAAAUAUGGCUGCCAUGCCACCCUUUUCUUUCCUCUGUCUCUCACAUGAACACGCACACAUGCACACAUGCUGAUACUUAUACAUUCUCUAUCCACUGUCUUUUUCCAACUAUGUUGUGUAUUGCAGGCCGCCGUGCCUGACAGAAACAUGCACACAUGCACGCACACUGAUACUUACAUUUUGUCUGUCUUGUGUGUUGGUCUGUCUUUGUCUGUUUGUAUCUGACUGACAUUCAAAUUAGCUUUAGCAGACUGUAUCCGUCUUUGUCUGUCUUGUCUGUUGGUCUGUUUGUCUCUUUGUUUGUAUCUGACUGACAUUCAAAUUAGCUUUAGCAGACUAUCCGUCUUUGUCUGUCUUGUCUGUUGGUCUGUUUGUCUCUUUGUUUGUAUCUGACUGACAUUCAAAUUAGCUUUAGCAGACUAUCAGUCUUUGUCUGUCUUGUGUGUUGGUCUUUGUCUUUGUGUGACAAUCAAUUUAGCUUUAUCUGACUCUGUCUUCGUCACAGUACGAUUAGUUGCACUGGACAACCAACAUUUAAAUUGGCUUUAUUGGACUCACUGACUUUGUCUGACCAGCUGACUGUCAGAUUGGCUUUAUUAGACUCAGCAACUGCUGGUCAAAGUAGCUUUGAUGGACUGUGAUGAACUAACUAAUCAGAAACCUAUAUUAAGAUAUCAAAAUUAACAUUGACAGAUAAUUGGCAAUGUGUAAAUAUCACCAAUCCUAUCAAUAUAAUUAAAGGUUUUAAAUAAUUCUCUUCAGUUGAACUCCUGCCCCUGCAGGACAGAAAUGUCCAAAAAUAUGAAAGAAAUUAAUCUAUUAGACCAACAUGGCUAGCGCCAUGACAAUCUAUUUCCAUCUGUCUAAUUGGCUUGGGUUAGCUUUAGUGCAACAACUUUUUUUUUUUCCCAGGUAUAGCUAAAAAAGUAAGUAUUUCUUUUCUAAGUGCUGUGCAAAGGCAACUGGCCUUGCUUUAGGUUCUUUAAGACCUUUUCAUCUGAAAGGCUUAAGUUCUGUUCAGUUGCCUUUGUAAAGCACUUACAAAUACCAUGACCUGGAUGGCUGACAAUCUUUAAACAAGUAAGUAUCUUUUUUUUUUUUUUUUUUUUUUUUUUUCUUCAAUCUUGAUGUGUUUUAGUAAUCUCACCAUGUCUGUGCUGUCUUGGCCCACCCCAUAUUUUGUUAGGUAUGCUUAUUUUUUUUCUGGGUUGUCUUUGUCUAUCUCUCUUUUAGUCUUUCUGUCUCUGUUUUUGUUGUUGUGUCUCAACAACAAAAACAGAUACUUUGUCUGCCUGUCUCUUUGUCUUUGUAUGUCUCACUUUUUCUCUUUCUUUUUGUUUGUCUCUGUCCUGAUGAAGCCUUAACAUUAUGUACCACCUAAACUUUAGGGACACAUACACAGCCCAUAAGAGUAUAAAGUCAGCCAUUUUGAUAGUUGGGGGAUGUCUCUGAUAGCUGGGGGAAACUCUCUCUGUCCGAGAUUGGUUGAAGACAGCUUAUUAGUUUUUCCUCUUUGCUUACUGUAUACUCUGAAAGUUAGGUGAUUGCCAGCUCAGGUCACUUAUCAAUCAUAGAUGGUAAAUGCUUUUAAUUUGUUGUUGAUACUUAUUCUCAUUGCUCAUGCCUGCUAGGAUUUGCACAGUGUAGUACCUGUUGUUAAUAUUAAACAAACAAAUAUUGCCUGUUCCAUAAUGGUUUGUUUUUCCUGGAUCCAUUAUUCCAUCUUUGGAUAGUGCAGGUAUGUGGUGUACGUUGAUGUAGAUUAAUCAGAGAUCCUAAGUCAGAGAAUUUCAUAUACUACAUAUUAAUGUAGUUGUGUUGCUGUUGAUCAUCACCACCCAAAUUUUGAUACCAAACUAUUUAUUGUACUAUACACUUAAAGGGAUUUUGAAAUUAAGGGCUGUCUUGUUUUGAUCUGCCAAGUUUAAUUCCAACUGGAGACCCCAGUAGAACCUUUUGAGUUGAAGUAGUUCUUGCGGCGUUCCGUUUCGUAUCCGUAUUUGUAUGCGCGACAUUGGGAGGCCUCCCAGCAGGGGAAUUUUAUCCCACCCCUGCAAAGCGUUUCACCACUAGGGUACGGUCACAUCAGUUUCUAACAAGAUGCACUGUGGCAUCAGUUGAGACAGGAUAAAUUGGGCAGUUUCAUACGUGCAUGGGAUUGUCCUUUUUAUUUCUAGGUAGACUUUUACUGGAUAGUAGCGCGUUUGGGCUCUCUGGGAGGGAGUAAACCUGGCAGAAAGAGACAACUCAGAUACCUCUGAUAGGAAUCUGAAGAAGCUUCUGGACACCCAAUUUGGGCAUAUCUCCUUAAUUUUCAAUCUACUGGUGAUGAAAUUGACAGCAAUGAUGGCUAUGAAAACCAAACUGAUGUGUCAAGUGUAUCAACUUGUCACCAUAUUUUACAACUUACUCCCACUCAGUUACCUGGUAUUGACAUACAUGAGUUAGAAACUUAAUACUAUGAGCUAAAUUCCAGAGAAAGUGUUGGUGUUGUCUUGGGGCAGAGACACCGAAUAGAAUUAGAACUCUAAGACUUUGUUCCUAAUUAGAGAUACAUGCUGUGGGGAGAGUACUUGUGGUAGAUUAAGUAUUGCCAUUGUUAAUGUGGGAGGAGAUGUUUACAGGAGAGACCUGUAGUGUUAAAUGAGUGACAGCUUGUAUGAAGUGAGAUUUCUAUUGUGGAAGAUUUACUUCUAUGAUUUCUUUUUUGUCUCUUUUUACUCUAACUUUGUCACUUGAAUAGUAAAAACCUUCUCAACUAUUUAGAGUUUGGAUAUUUUGUCUUUUUUUUUUUUUUUUUUUUUGACCAAUUUGCAUAUCAUCUUUCUGCAGGUCCGAGACGUGUGGUUGGUAACCUGCUAAGAUGACAACGUGGUAUUUGAUACAUCUGAACUACGUGUUUGGAUAGUUGGAUGGCAUCUGAAACUCGCUCCCCCCUCACCUUUCUAACAUCAGCUAAUAGGUAUCUGUGUCACCCAUUCUCUGUAACCUUCCAGAAUUGACAAUCUGAUGGACACCCUUCAUGCCAUGAUUGGCCAGCUUGGAGAGUCACUCAGGAUGAGGCUUAGUCCAGUGUCCUGGUUUGUUGCACAGGACGCAGUGAUCACCCAGUUGUCUAGACAACAGUCAUCCUUAGUCCAGAUUCUGUAUCCACCCUAGAGUCUCUCUAUCUGCUUUAAUUCUUGUUUGGCUGCACAUAAACAAUCUCACUUCAUUGUACUCAGGUCUUCUUUUCUCUUCAUGUGGCUUUUCAACAUUCACUGCUGCUCUUAUCAUGUCUGCAAAGGGGGUGUUUUCCAAAUUUGGCAUUGUUUUUACAUGUUUGGUAGGAUAUAGCAGUAGACCAUUGACAAAGCAGUCAACUUGAGGUGCUUGACUCUGAUUUGUCAGAUUCCUCUUCACACUGACGUUAAGUCACUGUCUAUAAAUUUGAUUUCUGACAUGUUUGGACCAAUGUCAGAGUCAGACUUUAAGUUCGGUUCUGACAGAAUCAUCAACAUUUGGAGCAAGCUUUUACAUAUUUUCUCCAAAUUUGGCAAUCACAACCAGGAAUGAGCUAGGACAUCUUAACACUGCAGAGAACAAGGUAAACAGAGUCGACUCAUAUCACAUAAGAAGGCAAGGCUUUUCUCCUUCCCCUUCUCCUCUGUGUGUGAGGAAGUCUGUGCUUUAAGUAAAAUGAUUAUAAAAUUAGACCUUAUUGCUGAUUCUGUCCUAAAGCUGUAUUUGUAAUGGACAAGCAACUUUGAGAUAUUUUAGAAAUUGGAAAAAAAGUCUAGCUGAGUAAGCGUACAGACUAUAGACCCCUACUGGGUUGUGUGCUAUGGUUGUGCAGUUUCCAAAACCAGACAAGGAUCCCUCUGGUUUUUGAAUCAGCGUACCAUGGUAUGCUAUUAUGAGCUUACUCUAAGACACAUUCUACAAUUGGAUAUAAUUUUGGCAAGAAAGCAAGCAUGUUUAACAUUACCACUUGAGAAUGUUGGUGUGAGUCUGAAGAAUUCAGGUACAUCAGGGUCUGGCAUUUCAAAUUGCCCGCUUUGUCAGUAGUCUACAACCACAUCUUGCCAAACAUGUGAAAACAAUGCCAAGUUAGGAACCUGUUCCCUUUGCAAAUGUGACAACAGCAGCAGUUGAAUGUUGGAAAAUUGCAUGAUGAGAAAAGGAGACCCGGGGAAAAUGCAGUGGGAUUGUUUGAUGUGCAGCCAAAUGAGGGUUGAUGUAGGGAGAGGAACUUUGGGAAGCUGCAGAAUUGGGAGCUGAGGGGAACUUGUCUGUCUAAACAGCUAGGUGAUAGCUGUUUCCUGUGUAGCAAAUCAGUACACUGAAUUAAGCUUUGUCCUGAAUGACUCUCUGAGCUGGCCAGUCACGACAUGAUGCAUGUCAGUCAUAUUGUUGAUUCAGGAAAGCUAUAGAUGGGCAAUACAGGCACCUUUCAGCUGAUGUUGGAAAGGUAUGGGCGGAAAGGAGUUUCAGAUGCUAUCCAGCCAUCCAGCAUGUAGUUCAAAUGUGUCAAAUCCUGUUUUGUCAUCUUAGCAGGUUGCCAGCUCUGUGUUUUGGGCACAUAGACAGACAUGUUGAAUUGCAAAUUAGUCAAACAAAAGGUGAAAUCAAAGGACUAAAUGCUACAUUUUUUUGUCAUCAAAGUGACAAACCUAGAUGUACUGAGACUAAAGGCAUUUAGUUUCAGGAGCUAUGUGCUAUGUAGGUAAUGCCACAUGUAAAACCAGUUAUAUUUCUAUCUUAAGUAGUUGGUCCAGCAUGACCUAGGGAAAGGACAUUAAGGACUUUUCUCCAGUAUUAUCAGGGAAUCCCCAAAACCAAAAUCCCUUAUGUAUCAAAAAGGUCAGCUGUGGCAUUCACACCCUCAUUCAGUUCUGACAAAUUCAGCCCUGUCUCAAGAGUCCUGAGUCAGAACCAAUUGGCACCAAUCUUUGAAGUAAGCUUCCUAAUACCAGAUUUAAUACUUGUGCUGAAAAGGCUGGCUUUAAUCAAGCAUUGCUGGAUAAAAUUACAGGAAAAAGAAUAUAUCUCAUUGUAAUGUUUUGGCUAGAUAGUUGGAGGAUGCCCAAGCCCCACAUGACAGAGGUUGCAGUCAGUUCAGCAGUUUCCUGUGACCCCAGAAAAAUCAGUGAGGGAGGCCCAUGACCCUGAAGUUGUCCUGGACUGGAAGAAGAGGAAGACCAGACUGUACCAAACCCUCCUUGAUGAUGAUGCGUCUGUGCCAUGUGAUUGAUGUCUUCAGAUAUUCAACCUUCAGGAAGCUUCGAUUGUUGUGGCCUCACCUCAGCUCACCAAGCCCUGCACUCUACCUUGACCUCCUGCCCCCACAAGUCUGAAAACCUCUCUCCAAAGUGGCAUGCCAACAUUGCACAAGUCAGCUGACUAAACACAAACUAUGGCCGUUAAUGAACAAUGUAAACCUGACAAGAUGCAUCUUCUUGGAGCCCAAGUCCUACAAACUUUUGCCCAAACUAUGUACUGCCUAACCAGCAACGAACUCAUUCGCCCAUGUCCCUCAAAGUGCUUAGGAGGCUCUUUCUUGCCAUCAGACUCACCACCACUCGCCACAACACAAACUGGACACCCAUCUGGGGAAAUGGGGAAAAACCACAUCAUAACUGGGAGAUGGACAUUCUGUAACUGUAUUUUUGAUGAUGAUUCUCUGACGUGGGUGUUCAGCACAUAGACAAUGUACUAUGUCUCCAUUUAAAAUCUGCAUUGGUAUUUGAAGUACAUGUAUGUUCCUGUGUUGGAUAUUAAGUAAAAUUAUUGCUUAUUUUCUAA
Long non-coding RNA from Lates calcarifer (barramundi perch), 8727 nucleotides. RefSeq lists it as uncharacterized. The record is from RefSeq and is a predicted model, not a curated record. The transcript has 3 exons. NCBI's taxonomy places the organism in Eukaryota, Metazoa, Chordata, Actinopteri, Centropomidae.